UUUUAAUCAUAGCUGAGGAAGAAACCAACCGGGAUUGCCUUAGUAACGGCGAGUGAAGCGGCAAAAGCUCAAAUUUGAAAUCUGGUACCUUCGGUGCCCGAGUUGUAAUUUGGAGAGGGCAACUUUGGGGCCGUUCCUUGUCUAUGUUCCUUGGAACAGGACGUCAUAGAGGGUGAGAAUCCCGUGUGGCGAGGAGUGCGGUUCUUUGUAAAGUGCCUUCGAAGAGUCGAGUUGUUUGGGAAUGCAGCUCUAAGUGGGUGGUAAAUUCCAUCUAAAGCUAAAUAUUGGCGAGAGACCGAUAGCGAACAAGUACAGUGAUGGAAAGAUGAAAAGAACUUUGAAAAGAGAGUGAAAAAGUACGUGAAAUUGUUGAAAGGGAAGGGCAUUUGAUCAGACAUGGUGUUUUGUGCCCUCUGCUCCUUGUGGGUAGGGGAAUCUCGCAUUUCACUGGGCCAGCAUCAGUUUUGGUGGCAGGAUAAAUCCAUAGGAAUGUAGCUUGCCUCGGUAAGUAUUAUAGCCUGUGGGAAUACUGCCAGCUGGGACUGAGGACUGCGACGUAAGUCAAGUGAUGCUGGCAUAAUGGUUA
This 586-nucleotide ribosomal RNA is filed under the name Saccharomyces cerevisiae (brewer's yeast). RNAcentral describes it as "eukaryotic LSU rRNA". It matches the Rfam family "Eukaryotic large subunit ribosomal RNA", at positions 41 to 640 of the family's 3401-position model. The record is from RNAcentral. Lineage: Eukaryota; Fungi; Ascomycota; Saccharomycetes; Saccharomycetales; Saccharomycetaceae.